RNAcentral lists this ribosomal RNA (1249 nucleotides) under uncultured Acinetobacter sp. RNAcentral describes it as "bacterial SSU rRNA". It matches the Rfam family "Bacterial small subunit ribosomal RNA", at positions 79 to 1323 of the family's 1533-position model. Lineage: Bacteria; Pseudomonadati; Pseudomonadota; Gammaproteobacteria; Moraxellales; Moraxellaceae. The record is from RNAcentral.
CUUGCUACCUGACCUAGCGGCGGACGGGUGAGUAAUGCUUAGGAAUCUGCCUAUUAGUGGGGGACAACAUUCCGAAAGGAAUGCUAAUACCGCAUACGCCCUACGGGGGAAAGCAGGGGAUCUUCGGACCUUGCGCUAAUAGAUGAGCCUAAGUCAGAUUAGCUAGUUGGUGGGGUAAAGGCCUACCAAGGCGACGAUCUGUAGCGGGUCUGAGAGGAUGAUCCGCCACACUGGGACUGAGACACGGCCCAGACUCCUACGGGAGGCAGCAGUGGGGAAUAUUGGACAAUGGGCGAAAGCCUGAUCCAGCCAUGCCGCGUGUGUGAAGAAGGCCUUUUGGUUGUAAAGCACUUUAAGCGAGGAGGAGGCUACUUGGAUUAAUACUCUAGGAUAGUGGACGUUACUCGCAGAAUAAGCACCGGCUAACUCUGUGCCAGCAGCCGCGGUAAUACAGAGGGUGCGAGCGUUAAUCGGAUUUACUGGGCGUAAAGCGUGCGUAGGCGGCUUUUUAAGUCGGAUGUGAAAUCCCUGAGCUUAACUUAGGAAUUGCAUUCGAUACUGGGAAGCUAGAGUAUGGGAGAGGAUGGUAGAAUUCCAGGUGUAGCGGUGAAAUGCGUAGAGAUCUGGAGGAAUACCGAUGGCGAAGGCAGCCAUCUGGCCUAAUACUGACGCUGAGGUACGAAAGCAUGGGGAGCAAACAGGAUUAGAUACCCUGGUAGUCCAUGCCGUAAACGAUGUCUACUAGCCGUUGGGGCCUUUGAGGCUUUAGUGGCGCAGCUAACGCGAUAAGUAGACCGCCUGGGGAGUACGGUCGCAAGACUAAAACUCAAAUGAAUUGACGGGGGCCCGCACAAGCGGUGGAGCAUGUGGUUUAAUUCGAUGCAACGCGAAGAACCUUACCUGGUCUUGACAUAGUAAGAACUUUCCAGAGAUGGAUUGGUGCCUUCGGGAACUUACAUACAGGUGCUGCAUGGCUGUCGUCAGCUCGUGUCGUGAGAUGUUGGGUUAAGUCCCGCAACGAGCGCAACCCUUUUCCUUAUUUGCCAGCGGGUUAAGCCGGGAACUUUAAGGAUACUGCCAGUGACAAACUGGAGGAAGGCGGGGACGACGUCAAGUCAUCAUGGCCCUUACGACCAGGGCUACACACGUGCUACAAUGGUCGGUACAAAGGGUUGCUACCUAGCGAUAGGAUGCUAAUCUCAAAAAGCCGAUCGUAGUCCGGAUUGGAGUCUGCAACUCGACUCCAUGA